Molecule: ribosomal RNA, 402 nt
Filed under: bacterium
Lineage: Bacteria
Description: partial 16S ribosomal RNA
Rfam family: Bacterial small subunit ribosomal RNA
Source: RNAcentral
UGGUGAAUUUUGCACAAUGGGGGAAACCCUGAUGCAGCGACUCCGCGUGAUUUAGAAUGCCUUCGGGUUGUAAAAAUCUUUUCUAUGGGAAGAAAAUGACAGUACCAUAGGAAUAAGGACCGGCUAAUUACGUGCCAGCAGCCGCGGUAAUACGUAAGGUCCGAGCGUUGUCCGGAAUCAUUGGGCGUAAAGGGUACGUAGGCGGGUAAGCAAGUUAGAAGUGAAAUCCUAUAGCUCAACUAUAGUAAGCUUUUAAAACUGCUCAUCUUGAGGUAUGGAAGGGAAAGUGGAAUUCCUGGUGUAGCGGUGAAAUGCGCAGAUAUUAGGAGGAAUACCGGUGGCGAAGGCGACUUUCUGGCCAUAACCUGACGCUGUGGUACGAAAGCGUGGGUAGCAAACAGG